RNAcentral lists this long non-coding RNA (637 nucleotides) under Fragaria vesca (wild strawberry). RNAcentral describes it as "long non-coding RNA (FVES_LNC005164)". The record is from RNAcentral. Lineage: Eukaryota; Viridiplantae; Streptophyta; Magnoliopsida; Rosales; Rosaceae.
AUCACAGACGACAUUUUCCCGACGAAAUCUUAGCCGACGAAUUAAGCUAACAGGCCGACGAAAAUUUUUCGUCGGCUAAAGUGCUUGUCCUGGUAGUGUCUCUUUCUUCCAUGAACAAAAAUGUUUCUCUUCUCAAUCUUGCAAGUAAUCUAUUCUACAUAUUAUUCUAUUGUGUAAUUUUGAUUUGAUUAGAAUUUUGUUUUGCCUUCACCUGACAACUUUGAACGUGAGAACAUUAUUCUUAAUCCGGUUAAACAAUUUGGUGAUAAAUUGCGCCUAAACACAUUAGAAAUAGAAAAAGUGGUUAUGAGAAUUUGACCCUACGUGGAUUGAAUACUAUGAGAAUCACAUCCUAAGGUUUAAUUCAAUUUAACAAUGUUGGAUUUGAAAUUCGAAGGUCAAACUUCACCUGGUUACUGCACUUCAGAUCUAGGUAACACCAUAUUUGGAAUUUGGUGAAUAAGUAUCGCUCACAAAGACGUAAGGAAUUGGUUACUAAAAAUUAGAUUUAGGUCCCUAUCAUCUACGAGGAAUUGAAGAACACAGAUUUAGCUACCGAUAUGAAUGCAUACGAUAACAAAGACGUAGAUAAGGCCAUAGUAAACAGUUCCGUUAGGUAUUUUGCUUUACUUCUCUU